AGGGGAAUAGAACAAGGGUAGUUCAGCGGUCUCCAAAACCGUAGAUGUGGGUUCGAAUCCUGCUUCCCCUGCAA
Molecule: transfer RNA, 74 nt
Filed under: Bacteroides sp. CAG:1060_57_27
Lineage: Bacteria; Pseudomonadati; Bacteroidota; Bacteroidia; Bacteroidales; Bacteroidaceae
Description: tRNA-Trp
Rfam family: tRNA
About the family: Transfer RNA (tRNA) molecules are approximately 80 nucleotides in length. Their secondary structure includes four short double-helical elements and three loops (D, anti-codon, and T loops).
Source: RNAcentral